Molecule: ribosomal RNA, 517 nt
Filed under: uncultured bacterium
Lineage: Bacteria
Description: bacterial SSU rRNA
Rfam family: Bacterial small subunit ribosomal RNA
Source: RNAcentral
AGAACUUAGCAGAGAUGCUUUGGUGCCUUCGGGAACUCUGAGACAGGUGCUGCAUGGCUGUCGUCAGCUCGUGUUGUGAAAUGUUGGGUUAAGUCCCGCAACGAGCGCAACCCUUAUCCUUUGUUGCCAGCGAUUCGGUCGGGAACUCAAAGGAGACUGCCAGUGAUAAACUGGAGGAAGGUGGGGAUGACGUCAAGUCAUCAUGGCCCUUACGAGUAGGGCUACACACGUGCUACAAUGGCGCAUACAAAGAGAAGCGACCUCGCGAGAGCAAGCGGACCUCAUAAAGUGCGUCGUAGUCCGGAUUGGAGUCUGCAACUCGACUCCAUGAAGUCGGAAUCGCUAGUAAUCGUAGAUCAGAAUGCUACGGUGAAUACGUUCCCGGGCCUUGUACACACCGCCCGUCACACCAUGGGAGUGGGUUGCAAAAGAAGUAGGUAGCUUAACUUUCGGGAGGGCGCUUACCACUUUGUGAUUCAUGACUGGGGUGAAGUCGUAACAAGGUAAGCGUAGUGCU